This 540-nucleotide ribosomal RNA is filed under the name Streptomyces pratensis. RNAcentral's name for it is "bacterial SSU rRNA". It matches the Rfam family "Bacterial small subunit ribosomal RNA", at positions 99 to 653 of the family's 1533-position model. The record is from RNAcentral. Lineage: Bacteria; Bacillati; Actinomycetota; Actinomycetes; Kitasatosporales; Streptomycetaceae.
CGAACGGGUGAGUAACACGUGGGCAAUCUGCCCUUCACUCUGGGACAAGCCCUGGAAACGGGGUCUAAUACCGGAUAACACUCUGUCCCGCAUGGGACGGGGUUAAAAGCUCCGGCGGUGAAGGAUGAGCCCGCGGCCUAUCAGCUUGUUGGUGGGGUAAUGGCCUACCAAGGCGACGACGGGUAGCCGGCCUGAGAGGGCGACCGGCCACACUGGGACUGAGACACGGCCCAGACUCCUACGGGAGGCAGCAGUGGGGAAUAUUGCACAAUGGGCGAAAGCCUGAUGCAGCGACGCCGCGUGAGGGAUGACGGCCUUCGGGUUGUAAACCUCUUUCAGCAGGGAAGAAGCGAAAGUGACGGUACCUGCAGAAGAAGCGCCGGCUAACUACGUGCCAGCAGCCGCGGUAAUACGUAGGGCGCAAGCGUUGUCCGGAAUUAUUGGGCGUAAAGAGCUCGUAGGCGGCUUGUCACGUCGGAUGUGAAAGCCCGGGGCUUAACCCCGGGUCUGCAUUCGAUACGGGCUAGCUAGAGUGUGGUA